Molecule: ribosomal RNA, 534 nt
Filed under: Triticum aestivum (bread wheat)
Lineage: Eukaryota; Viridiplantae; Streptophyta; Magnoliopsida; Poales; Poaceae
Description: partial small subunit ribosomal RNA
Source: RNAcentral
AUGGACAAGAUGAGGGUGGCGGUGGUUGGUGGUGGACUAAGCGGGAUGGUGGCAGCGCACGAGCUGGCAAGGAGCGGCGGUGCUAGCGUGACGGUGUACGAGCAGGAGGAACAUCUUGACGGGAACGCCUGCAGGAGUGUGGCCGUGGACGGCGUCCACCUCGACCUCGGCUUCAUGCUCUUCAACCGGGUGGGCACACCCACUGUGACGUACCCAAACAUGGUCGACUGGCUGCAAGGGACGGGUGUGGAGAUGGAGAGGUCGGACAUAUCCAUGUCGGCGCAGCUGGCCGGCGGUGCCAACUGCGAGUGGGGCGGCGGCGUUGUCUCCUGGUUGCUGGCGCAGAGGAGCAACGCGCUCAGCCCCAGCUUCUGGCGCAAGGUCCGUGAGGUUUUCAAGCUGAAGACCGACGCCCUGAGGUACCUCGAAGACCAUGAAAGCAACCCUGAUCUCGACCGGUGCAACAAGACGCUGGGGCAGUUCGUUCAGUCGCAUGGCUACUCCCAGCUGUUCCAGGAAGCUUACCUGGUAUGA